RNAcentral lists this ribosomal RNA (946 nucleotides) under uncultured marine bacterium. RNAcentral describes it as "bacterial SSU rRNA". It matches the Rfam family "Bacterial small subunit ribosomal RNA", at positions 62 to 1045 of the family's 1533-position model. The record is from RNAcentral.
UCGAACGAAGGCCCUAGCUUGCUAGGUGUCCUUAGUGGCGCACGGGUGAGUAACACGUGGGAACAUACCUCACAGUACGGAAUAACUGCGGGAAACUGUAGCUAAUACCGUAUAUUCCAGAAAUGGGAAAGAUUUAUCGCUAUGAGAUUGGCCCGCGCAAGAUUAGCUUGUUGGUAAGGUAAUGGCUUACCAAGGCUCCGAUCUUUAGCUGGUUUGAGAGGAUGAUCAGCCACACUGGGACUGAGACACGGCCCAGACUCCUACGGGAGGCAGCAGUAGGGAAUAUUGGACAAUGGGGGAAACCCUGAUCCAGCAAUGCAGCGUGAGUGACGAAGGCCUUAGGGUUGUAAAACUCUUUCAUCGGUGAGGAUAAUGACAGUAGCCGAAGAAGAAGGACCGGCUAAUUCCGUGCCAGCAGCCGCGGUAAUACGGAAGGUCCUAGCGUUGUUCGGAAUUACUGGGCGUAAAGCGCAUGUAGGCGGAACAAAAAGUUAGAAGUGAAAUCCCUGGGCUCAACCUAGGAAUGGCUUUUAAAACUUUUGUUCUGGAAUUCAGGAGAGGAAAAUGGAAUUUCCAGUGUAGAGGUGAAAUUCGUAGAUAUUGGAAGGAACACCAGUGGCGAAGGCGAUUUUCUGGACUGAUAUUGACGCUGAGAUGCGAAGGCAUGGGUAGCAAACGGGAUUAGAUACCCCGGUAGUCCAUGCAGUAAACGAUGGGUGCUAGUCGUCGGACUUUUGUUCGGUGUCGUAGCUAACGCGUUAAGCACCCCGCCUGGGGAGUACGGUCGCAAGAUUAAAACUCAAAUAAAUUGACGGGGACCCGCACAAGCAGUGGAGCAUGUGGUUUAAUUCGACGCAACGCGAAGAACCUUACCAGCGUUUGACAUGGGAAGUGCCGGUUACAGAAUGGUAACCUUCAGUUCGGCUGGCUUCCACACAGUGCUGCA